UCCCUGUUGCCAGGGCGGUCUAGCUAGAGAAAUCCAACUAACUAUAAGGGUUGCGCUCGUUGAUGGACUUAACCAAACAUCUCACGACACGAGCUGACGACGGCCAUGCAGCACCUGUCACUUGGUUCCCGAAGGCACCAACUGCUUUCGCAGAAGUUCCAAGGAUGUCAAACCUGGGUAAGGUUCUUCGCUUAUCGUCGAAUUAAACAACACGCUCCACCGCUUGUGCGGGUCCCCGUCAAUUCCUUUAUGUUUUAAGCUUGCGCUCGUACUCCACAGGCGGGAUGCUUAACGCGUUAGCUUCGCUACUAGAAGGGUCGAUACUUCUAACAGCUAGCAUCCAUAGUUUACGGCGUGGACUAC
This 363-nucleotide unclassified non-coding RNA is filed under the name uncultured bacterium. RNAcentral describes it as "contains 16S-23S intergenic spacer region". The record is from RNAcentral.